This 97-nucleotide ribosomal RNA is filed under the name uncultured bacterium. RNAcentral's name for it is "partial 16S ribosomal RNA". It matches the Rfam family "Bacterial small subunit ribosomal RNA", at positions 1386 to 1482 of the family's 1533-position model. The record is from RNAcentral.
CACACCGCCCGUCACAUCACGAAAGCCAGUUGUACUAGAAGCCGGUAAUUCGACCGCGAGGAGAUAGCCGUCCAAGGUAUGACUGGUGAUUGGGGUG